This 403-nucleotide ribosomal RNA is filed under the name uncultured Eubacteriales bacterium. RNAcentral's name for it is "uncultured Clostridiales bacterium partial 16S ribosomal RNA". It matches the Rfam family "Bacterial small subunit ribosomal RNA", at positions 355 to 774 of the family's 1533-position model. The record is from RNAcentral. Lineage: Bacteria; Bacillati; Bacillota; Clostridia; Eubacteriales.
UCGGGAAUAUUGCGCAAUGGAGGAAACUCUGACGCAGUGACGCCGCGUAUAGGAAGAAGGUUUUCGGAUUGUAAACUAUUUUAGUCAGGGAAGAAAAAAGACAGUACCUGAAGAAUAAGCUCCGGCUAACUACGUGCCAGCAGCCGCGGUAAUACGUAGGGAGCAAGCGUUAUCCGGAAUUAUUGGGUGUAAAGGGUGCGUAGACGGGUACGCAAGUUAGUUGUGAAAUCCCUCGGCUUAACUGAGGAACUGCAACUAAAACUGCGAAUCUUGAGUGCAGGAGAGGAAAGUGGAAUUCCUAGUGUAGCGGUGAAAUGCGUAGAUAUUAGGAGGAACACCAGUGGCGAAGGCGGCUUUCUGGACUGUAACUGACGUUGAGGCACGAAAGUGUGGGGAGCAAACA